This 239-nucleotide long non-coding RNA is filed under the name Erythranthe guttata (spotted monkey flower). RNAcentral's name for it is "long non-coding RNA (EGUT_LNC002221)". The record is from RNAcentral. Lineage: Eukaryota; Viridiplantae; Streptophyta; Magnoliopsida; Lamiales; Phrymaceae.
AUAUAUUUUGGUCUCUUUGCACUGCACAUUGCAUCGAUCUGAUGUUGGAAGAUAUCGGUAAGAUGACCAAAAUAAAAAGAUGCAUAGAAAAGGCAAAAAAAAUUACAAGUUUUAUUUACAACAGUGACAAAAUUGUGAAUCUUAUGAAGUCGUAUACAAACGAACGAGAGUUGUUAAGGCCAGGAAUUACAAGAUUUGCAGCAGUAUUUAUUGCUAUUGAAAGUCUUGUUCGACAUUCU